RNAcentral lists this small nucleolar RNA (72 nucleotides) under Choloepus hoffmanni (Hoffmann's two-fingered sloth). RNAcentral describes it as "Small nucleolar RNA SNORD112 (ENSCHOG00000015655.1)". The record is from RNAcentral. Lineage: Eukaryota; Metazoa; Chordata; Mammalia; Pilosa; Megalonychidae.
UAGACCAAUGAUGAUAGCAUGCCAUAAACCAAAGAAUAUGAAUAAUCCAAUUCUCUGUAGCCCAGGUCCAUU